UGGGCAGUAGCUCAGUGGCAGAUCUCCUGCUUCGUAUGCGGGAAAACCUGAGUUCGAUCCCCGGCUGCUUUC
RNAcentral lists this transfer RNA (72 nucleotides) under Toxocara canis (dog roundworm). It matches the Rfam family "tRNA". Rfam says of the family: Transfer RNA (tRNA) molecules are approximately 80 nucleotides in length. The record is from Rfam by way of RNAcentral. Lineage: Eukaryota; Metazoa; Nematoda; Chromadorea; Rhabditida; Toxocaridae.